UUUUCAGAUAUCUACAAUAUGCUACACUUCAAAGAUCCUUCUCCAUUCUGAUUCUCCGCUCCAUGAACUGUUUUUAUGAAGCAGCACAAAACCAAUUAAAAAGGUUUGUGCAUCACAACUCAAUAUCUACUGUCCACUACUCCCAAAAGAUUUCUGGAAUAUGCUAUACUUCAAAGAUCCUUCUCCAUUAUGGUUCUCCGCUCCAUGAACUGUUUUUAUGAAGCAGCACAAAACCAAUAAAAAGGUUUGUGCGUCAAAACCCAAAAUCUACUGUCCACUACUAUGAAAAGAUUUCUGCAAUAUGCUACACUUCAAAGAUCCUUCUCCAUUAUAUGAUUGUCCGCUCCAUGAACCGUUUUAUGAAGCUGCACAAAAACAAUUAAAAAGUUUUGUGCAGAACAAGUCAAUAACUACUGUCCACUACUCCCAAAAGAUUUUUGCAAGUCGCCACACUUCAAACUUCCUUAUCCAUUAUGAUCCUUCGCUCUAUGAACCAUUUUUAUGAUGUGGCACAAAACCAAUUAAAAAGGUGUGUGCAUCAAAACUCAAUAACUACUGUCCACUACUCCCAAAAGGUUUCUGCAAUAGCUACAGUUGAAACUUAAUCAUCCAUUAAAUAAAUGAUGCUCCACUCUAUGAACUCCUUUUUAUGAAGAAGCACACAACCAAUAAAAAAGUGAAUACAAAACCAUUGUUCAAGUAUCUUCAGAAAAUGUCCCGGCAAAACUCUAAACUGAUGCAGGCAGUCAAUAGUCAAAGAUAUCACAAAUGCAUAACCACGAAAGUAACACGAUUCUAUAUGAAAUGUUGGAUGGAUGGCUUGUAUUAUAUUUAGCCUAUGUACAGCAAAUUUAGAUGCCAGCCAAAGGAGGAUGGCUUGCCCCUGCGGAGUCUGGUUCCUCCCAAGGUUUCUCCCUAUACCUCUUUGCUGAUGAUGCUACUCUUCACUAAUUUAGGGAGUUUUUCCUUGCCACUGUUGCCUUCUGGCUUGCUCACUGGGGUAUUAAGGCACAAUAUUUUCAAUGUAAAGUGUUUGUAAAGAAUAAUAAAUGCACAAUGAUUUAGAAUA
Long non-coding RNA from Cyprinus carpio (common carp), 1069 nucleotides. RefSeq lists it as uncharacterized. The transcript has 10 exons. Lineage: Eukaryota; Metazoa; Chordata; Actinopteri; Cypriniformes; Cyprinidae. The record is from RefSeq and is a predicted model, not a curated record.